GUUGCAACGUCUGCUCUGUCUAAAGGAAGAAGUUUGUUGACCAGAUAGCCUGAGAUCGUAUUGCUGUAUCAACCAAAAGAUGCAGAUACACGUAUUUCAUAUGCGCGUCUGUGCAUGAGGAGGAGAUUUUCUGAAAAAGAAUAAGUGCUUAUUCAACUUACUGCGAUUUUAACGGGCUUAAAGCUUGGUCCAUGGAUGGUUAUGUUUGAGGAUUUGCCAAUUCGACCGCAAGUGCUGCUGCAAGAAAUUAA
Long non-coding RNA from Saccostrea cuccullata (small rock oyster), 251 nucleotides. RefSeq lists it as uncharacterized. The transcript has 3 exons. The record is from RefSeq and is a predicted model, not a curated record. Lineage: Eukaryota; Metazoa; Mollusca; Bivalvia; Ostreida; Ostreidae.